RNAcentral lists this ribosomal RNA (303 nucleotides) under uncultured bacterium. RNAcentral describes it as "partial 16S ribosomal RNA". It matches the Rfam family "Bacterial small subunit ribosomal RNA", at positions 507 to 808 of the family's 1533-position model. The record is from RNAcentral.
AGCAGUCGCCGCGGUAAUACAGAGGGUGCGAGCGUUAAUCGGAUUUACUGGGCGUAAAGCGUGCGUAGGCGGCUUUUUAAGUCGGAUGUGAAAUCCCUGAGCUUAACUUAGGAAUUGCAUUCGAUACUGGGAAGCUAGAGUAUGGGAGAGGAUGGUAGAAUUCCAGGUGUAGCGGUGAAAUGCGUAGAGAUCUGGAGGAAUACCGAUGGCGAAGGCAGCCAUCUGGCCUAAUACUGACGCUGAGGUACGAAAGCAUGGGGAGCAAACAGGAUUAGAGACCCCGUAGUCCCUGUCUCUUAUACA